UGUCUGUGUUACAAAAUGGGUGCUGUGCACUUUUGAUUUUGGUAUGUUCACAGGUAUUGUUUUGGUUAGCUUCGUUAUAGCUUACAUUACUGAACAUGAAAUGCAAAUUUAUUGACCAGAACCCAAGAAGGGUUUCUGUGUGUAAUGACACUUCACCAAUGUGUGUUUCUAUAGCAGAGCUAUCUGUAUAUUAUAAAAACACUAAAUGAUGCUUCACCACAAGUGUGUGUCUUUGACUCUAUAUGUGAAAUGCUGCAGCUGCAUUUGGUGGAGGCUUGCCUCCUGGAAUAAGUGGUACAAAUGACAGGUGCACCAUCCUUGUCUCCAAUCUGGAUCCUGGCUAUGUUUCAGGGAUUCAAGCAUUUGAAAUGAUAGCAAUUGCUGCGAUUAAUUUGAGUUACUUGUAUGCCACAUAUAUCAACCAUCACAUCUUGCCAAAGUUGUUAUGCCUGAAAGCUACCUCUGCAGAAAUACUUUACAGUAGGAUUGAGGAAAGUGAACUCUCUGAUGCAAGCUCAACAAAUUUGAAAGAAGAUGGAUCUUCACCAUCCCUAACUCUGAUAAAAAAGCAGGUAGAUAUGCUAUACCAGCUCAUAAAUUCACCAGUUAAAUGGGAUGGUAUUCAGAUAAACUUUCAUAUCUAAAAGGAAAAGUGCCUUCCUCGAUAGGAAUUCCAACGUCAGUUGCCCUGCCCUUUGGAGUUUUUGAGAAGGUUUUGUUAGAUGAUUCAAACCUGGUUUGUCUCAUCUCAUCUCAUGGCACUUAAGUGUAUCCAACAUCAAUAGAAUGCUAAUUCUAACAUAUCGACCUUUGAAACCUUUCCAAAAUUAUCAUGACAGGUGAUUAUCAAGCAAAUGCUAGAUGUGUAUGCCUAGAUGAGGGCUUCGCUUGGUGAGGCAUGCAUUUCGUGACAAAGAGGCAUGCAUAACAAGUGAUUUCUUGUUUAGAAGCCUAAAAUAUAACUUCAUUCGAUCACAAUGCAUCAGAGUAGAUUUCCUUUUUCUCUAUCCAGGGUCCAUGAACACUGGAGUAGACUUCUACAAGUUGUGUGGAGUGUCCAUUAUUCAAAGAUCCUCUAGCACUAAAACUGUUGGAAAGACUUUUGGCAUUUGCACAACAGCCCCUUCUGCACAUAUCAUGACCGCAGACAAGCCACAGCUGGAAAUCCCAGGAUUUUCUGAAUCUGACCACUCCAGCCAGAAGAUAAGAUUAUUUGCUGCAUUGAGGACCUGAACCUGCCGAAAGACUCCAAAAUACUGGUGUUGAUGCCUUCUAUUGCUACACAGCUCACCGAAGAUCGACAGAAGAAACCAGUCCCUUGGAAACAAUGGCAAUCAUUGACAACAAGGAGAUCAUUGACAUUAACCAAGGU
Molecule: RNA transcript, 1372 nt
Organism: Magnolia sinica
Lineage: Eukaryota; Viridiplantae; Streptophyta; Magnoliopsida; Magnoliales; Magnoliaceae
Gene name: alpha-glucan water dikinase, chloroplastic-like
Exons: 7
Source: RefSeq, a predicted model, not a curated record